CAACUUUCCAUGAGUGACAAUAAAAUUCUCCGAGGAAAAAUCUCAGAUUUGGAAGAAAAACUGAAAAUCAAGGGAUGAUGAAAAGGAUCACCAUGACAAUGACCAUAUGAUGGAACUAGAGAGACAAAAAAGAUCUUUGGUACAGCAAGUGGCGAAUCUUAAAUUUCAGCUCAAGAAUUACGAAUCUUUGGACGAUCUGACGAAAAUGUUACAAGAGAGCCACAAGUCUCUGAUCUCAACCAAUGACCGACUUCUCGGCGAACUGGACGAGACCCGAAGCCGACAUCAGAGUGAAGUAGAGCAAUUGAAAUGGAGUUACGACCAACUACGGAAAACCAGUAUGCUGCUGAGUUCGACCAAUGGAACUACGAAUGGAAAGGACGUACCGUACACUAAUGGUUUCUGAUGGACCAGUUGUUGAUUUUUGCCAUUUUCCGAAAAAAUGUUUUGAUAACUGCUUUUAUGGACAUAAAACAUAAAAAUCGAUUUUUGCUGAAUGUUGGAAUUGGAACAAAAAAUCACUUUUUUCUUUCCUAAACUAUUCGACCUAA
Molecule: non-coding RNA, 551 nt
Organism: Styela clava
Lineage: Eukaryota; Metazoa; Chordata; Ascidiacea; Stolidobranchia; Styelidae
Source: RefSeq, a predicted model, not a curated record